This 301-nucleotide ribosomal RNA is filed under the name uncultured bacterium. RNAcentral's name for it is "partial 16S ribosomal RNA". It matches the Rfam family "Bacterial small subunit ribosomal RNA", at positions 509 to 807 of the family's 1533-position model. The record is from RNAcentral.
CAGUAGCCGCGGUAACACGUAGGUGGCAAGCGUUGUCCGGAAUUAUUGGGCGUAAAGGGCUCGCAGGCGGUUUCUUAAGUCUGAUGUGAAAGCCCCCGGCUCAACCGGGGAGGGUCAUUGGAAACUGGGAAACUUGAGUGCAGAAGAGGAGAGUGGAAUUCCACGUGUAGCGGUGAAAUGCGUAGAGAUGUGGAGGAACACCAGUGGCGAAGGCGACUCUCUGGUCUGUAACUGACGCUGAGGAGCGAAAGCGUGGGGAUCAAACAGGAUUAGAUACCCGAGUAGUCCCUGUCUCUUAUAC